AAUUGACGGGGCCCGCACAAGCGGCGGAGCAUGCGGAUUAAUUCGAUGCAACGCGAAGAACCUUACCAAGGCUUGACAUACACCGGUAACGCCCAGAGAUGGGUGCCCCUUUGUGGUCGGUGGACAGGUGGUGCAUGGUUGUCGUCAGCUCGUGUCGUGAGAUGUUGGGUUAAGUCCCGCAACGAGCGCAACCCUCGUCCUAUGUUGCCAGCGGGUCAUGCCGGGGACUCAUGGGAGACUGCCGGGGUCAACUCGGAGGAAGGUGGGGAUGACGUCAAAUCAUCAUGCCCCUUAUGUCUUGGGCUUCACGCAUGCUACAAUGGCCGGUACAAAGGGCUGCGAUACCGCGAGGUGGAGCGAAUCCCAGAAAGCCGGUCUCAGUUCGGAUUGGGGUUUGCAACUCGACCCCAUGAAGUCGGAGUCGCUAGUAAUCGCAGAUCAGCAACGCUGCGGUGAAUACGUUCCCGGGCCUU
RNAcentral lists this ribosomal RNA (473 nucleotides) under uncultured Curtobacterium sp. RNAcentral's name for it is "bacterial SSU rRNA". It matches the Rfam family "Bacterial small subunit ribosomal RNA", at positions 908 to 1382 of the family's 1533-position model. The record is from RNAcentral. Lineage: Bacteria; Bacillati; Actinomycetota; Actinomycetes; Micrococcales; Microbacteriaceae.